RNAcentral lists this small nuclear RNA (163 nucleotides) under Pogona vitticeps (central bearded dragon). RNAcentral's name for it is "U1 spliceosomal RNA (ENSPVIG00000025472.1)". It matches the Rfam family "U1 spliceosomal RNA". Rfam says of the family: U1 is a small nuclear RNA (snRNA) component of the spliceosome (involved in pre-mRNA splicing). Its 5' end forms complementary base pairs with the 5' splice junction, thus defining the 5' donor site of an intron. There are significant differences in sequence and secondary structure between metazoan and yeast U1 snRNAs, the latter being much longer (568 nucleotides as compared to 164 nucleotides in human). The record is from Rfam by way of RNAcentral. Lineage: Eukaryota; Metazoa; Chordata; Lepidosauria; Squamata; Agamidae.
ACUCAUACCUGGCAGGGGAGAUACCAUGAUCAUAAAAGUGUUUUUCCCAGGGUGAGACUCAUCCAUUGCACUUUAGAUGUGCUGAUCCCUGUGAUUUCCACAAAUGUGGGAAAAUCAACUGCCUAAUUUGUGGUAGUGGGGGACUGCGUUUGUCAUUUCCCCU